AUACGGAGGGUGCAAGCGUUAAUCGGAAUUACUGGGCGUAAAGCGCGCGUAGGCGGUUUAGUAAGUCGGAUGUGAAAGCCCUGGGCUCAACCUGGGAAUGGCAUUCGAUACUGCCUGACUAGAGUAUGGUAGAGGGAAGUGGAAUUUCCGGUGUAGCGGUGAAAUGCGUAGAUAUCGGAAGGAACACCAGUGGCGAAGGCGACUUCCUGGGCCAAUACUGACGCUAAGGUGCGAAAGCGUGGGGAGCAAACAGGAUUAGAAACCCCGGUAGUCC
Molecule: ribosomal RNA, 274 nt
Filed under: uncultured bacterium
Lineage: Bacteria
Description: partial 16S ribosomal RNA
Rfam family: Bacterial small subunit ribosomal RNA
Source: RNAcentral